RNAcentral lists this ribosomal RNA (253 nucleotides) under uncultured bacterium. RNAcentral's name for it is "partial 16S ribosomal RNA". It matches the Rfam family "Bacterial small subunit ribosomal RNA", at positions 524 to 776 of the family's 1533-position model. The record is from RNAcentral.
UACGGAGGGUGCAAGCGUUAUCCGGAAUCACUGGGUUUAAAGGGUGCGUAGGCGGCAGAAUAAGUCAGAGGUGAAAUCUUGCGGCUCAACCGUAAAAUUGCCUUUGAUACUGUUAUGCUUGAAUCAGGUUGAGGUAGGCAGAAUGUGGCAUGUAGCGGUGAAAUGCAUAGAUAUGCCAUAGAAUACCAAUUGCGAAGGCAGCCUGCUGGACCUGUAUUGACGCUGAGGCACGAAAGCGUGGGGAUCAAACAGG